This 539-nucleotide ribosomal RNA is filed under the name uncultured bacterium. RNAcentral describes it as "bacterial SSU rRNA". It matches the Rfam family "Bacterial small subunit ribosomal RNA", at positions 777 to 1314 of the family's 1533-position model. The record is from RNAcentral.
AAUAGAUACCCAGGUAGUCCACGCCGUAAACGAUGAGUGCUAAGUGUUAGAGGGCUUCCACCCUUUAGUGCUGCAGCUAACGCAUUAAGCACUCCGCCUGGGGAGUACGGCCGCAAGGCUGAAACUCAAAGGAAUUGACGGGGGCCCGCACAAGCGGUGGAGCAUGUGGUUUAAUUCGAAGCAACGCGAAGAACCUUACCAGGUCUUGACAUCCUUCGCUACCUCUAGAGAUAGAGGGUUCCCCUUCGGGGGACGGAGUGACAGGUGGUGCAUGGUUGUCGUCAGCUCGUGUCGUGAGAUGUUGGGUUAAGUCCCGCAACGAGCGCAACCCUUGACCUUAGUUGCCAGCAUUCAGUUGGGCACUCUAAGGUGACUGCCGGUGACAAACCGGAGGAAGGUGGGGAUGACGUCAAAUCAUCAUGCCCCUUAUGACCUGGGCUACACACGUGCUACAAUGGAUGGUACAAAGGGUCGCGAAACCGCGAGGUGGAGCCAAUCCCAAAAAACCAUUCUCAGUUCGGAUUGCAGGCUGCAACUCG